AAAUAGGAAGUAAACUAUGAUAAUUUAAAACAAAAUUUAUAAUGAAAUUGGGAUUUAGUUUUCUAAAAGAAACGAUUAAAGAUUUGAAGCGAGAGAAAAUAGUAAUGGCAGCACUUCUGGUUUCAGGAGUUCUGGUUCGGUUCACACAUGCAGAAACAUGGAUUUCACAUGCUUAUUCCUUCAUUAUAUGUGAUUUUUCUUACACACAAAACAGCUCCUAUAACAGGGAAAAAUAUUUUAUUGUAAACCAUUUUAAACCUUUCUAAGAGACCCUCUUCAAUAUACAGACUCUUUUUUAAAUGAACAAUUUAGAAUACAUGUAGC
Molecule: long non-coding RNA, 324 nt
Filed under: Androctonus crassicauda
Lineage: Eukaryota; Metazoa; Arthropoda; Arachnida; Scorpiones; Buthidae
Source: RNAcentral